GAUGAAGAACGCAGCGAAAUGCGAUACUUGGGGUGAAUUGCAGAAUCCCGUGAACCAUCGAGUCUUUGAACGCAAGUUGCGCCCGAAGCCAUUAGGCCGAGGGCACGCCUGCCUGGGCGUCACACGUCGUUGCCCCCCCAUCUACUCCUUCGGGAUUGCGGGGGGCGGAUGAUGGCCUCCCGUGCGCCUCGCCGCGCGGUUGGCAUAAAUGCCAAGUCCUCGGCGACGCACGCCACGACAAUCGGUGGUUGCGAAACCUCGGUUGCCCGUCGUGUGCGGUCGUCGCGCAUCGAGGGCUCGAAAAAAUUGCCGGGUUCCGGCUCGGCUUUCAACGCGACCCCAGGUCAGGCGGGGUUACCCGCUGAAUUUAAGCAUAUCAAUAAGCGGAGGA
RNAcentral lists this unclassified non-coding RNA (391 nucleotides) under soil metagenome. RNAcentral's name for it is "partial contains 5.8S ribosomal RNA, internal transcribed spacer 2, and large subunit ribosomal RNA". The stretch from base 1 to 122 matches the Rfam family "5.8S ribosomal RNA", at positions 35 to 154 of the family's 154-position model. The record is from RNAcentral.